UUAAAACAAUUGAUAAGGGAUGCCCUGAAGGAGUUCAUUAGUCUCUCUAGUUUUUUUAUUAUUAGGAACAAGAGUGGGGUAUUUUGUGCUGCGAUAACUCCUGAUCUCCAGCAACAAAUCCUUUUUGUUCUGCAAUUCAAAGCAAGAAACCUCCCAAUCAUAUUUUUUGAAAAAACUCUUUAUCACUAGAAAGCUUAGCUCAAAGGAUUGCAAUCCUCUAACCGAGAAGAUCACUGCUAGACUUAACUCUUGGAUUGCAAUCCUUUUUCAUAGGCAAACUACACAAUCAACUAGAAUUACACCAAUUAGAGUUUUUACAGCAAAUUAUAUGCAUGUGUCUCUCCAUAAAUCACCCAAAUCCAUAUUGAGAGGUGAUACUGGCUAUUGUUUGAUACCUGCGAUAAUUUUGUGCCUUUGGGACUAUCAACGCCUAUUCCAGUAAGAGUUUUUAUAGCAAAUUGGAUGCAUGGAUCUGACCAUAGAUCCAUGGAAGGCAGCUCAAUAGGAAUAUAGCUUCUCAUUGUCUUGGUUCACUUUUUCAACCAUUCCAGCAUGUUCCAAAGCUAGCCUUAAGCUGACCAUGCUGCUAUGAUUGCUAAUGAGCCAUACCACCAAGAGAAGAGGAGGUGUACUAGCUCUCUGCCUCUCCAUCGUUUCUCAGUUCUCACCAUCACAUCUCUCAAAUCAAGGUACUUAACAGGAUUUUGUAGAAUUUUUGGUGUUUUGGCUGCUUUUAGUUCAAGUGAAUUCCAUGAGGUACUUAAUAGGAUUUUGUAGAAUUUUUGGUGUUUUGGCUGCUUUUAAUCCAAGUGAAUUCCAUGAGGUGAAUUCCAAGAGGUGAAUUUCAUGUAAGAUGUAGUUGAUAUUUUCAAUAGAAAUUGGAUGUGCAGUUGAACUCAAGCACUCGCAUACAUUUAAAUCAAACAAUAAUGAACUAUCAUAGCCAGUGAGUGAGAUGUAAUGAACUGUCUGACCAGUGGCAUUAUUGUUAAGUUUUUCUUCUUUUUUUGUGAAAAUUCAUAGCUUCAAAUAUUUGAAUAAUAAAUAUUAUUAGCUUUCAUAGUUUACUUAUCAAAAAAAGAAAAGAAGCUUCGUGAUGAGAUGAAGGAGUUUAGUGGUUCAACUGAUACUUUAUGAGAAUAUAUUUUGUUCUACCACAAACAACCAAUUUUUUAAUCCUUUUUUUUUUUGGUGAAAGCACAGUUAAUUGGAAGAAAUUAGAUCUUUCAUGUUUAAUUCAAGCAGUGUCAUAUGGAUACUUUGAAUUGCCUAGAAUCAAGAAGCAUGAAAAGGAUGGAAAUGCAGAGAAAUUUCCAUUACUUUAUCUUAUUUGUUUGGUGCUAAAUUAGAAUUUGCUUCAUGUUGGAAAAUUUACAACCUGAAGAAGUUUUUGAGUAUCUUAAUUGUACAAGAAAGGAUUUGACCUUUGAUCUUAUGGAGUUCAAUAUAGAUUGGAUUUGUUUGGCUACAACACCUAAGGAGGAAAAGGAUAGUAAAGCAAUGUUAAAAUUUUAUAUUCAUCCCUUCUUUUUAUUUUUCCAUUAUUGCUUGCUCAAUCUCCCUCAUUGAUUGGUUCUUAUAUUCCUUUAUCUUGCUCUAGGAAAAGAAAAUAGUGAAGCUUUUGGGUUUUAUGUGGAUUCCUUAAAAAUUAUGACUCUAUGGCUUACUUUUUCUUGAUGAUUUCGACAUAACUAAUGUUGAAUAUUGUAGUCCUAAAUUUUUUUAUGCACAAGUCAUUAAUCAAAUUAAGUUGAAAAGACAUUUUUGAAAUUUCCUAAUUAGCCCAAAUCAAUUCUUUAGUCAAAUUUUUUUGAAUAUACCUUAUCUGUGCUGAAUAAAAAUUCAGAUUAUCAUAACUUCUUUAGCAUUCGGAUCUUUCUAAUAAUGACAACAAUAUUAAUAGUGCAGCUGAUGCUUAGCCCAAAAGUCAAUGGAAUUAUAUUUUUAUGUACCAUCACGGUCUUCUCCGUAGAUGAAAAGGUAGUUUUAUUUAUAUCGUUGAUGGUUAUGUGGUUUGUUUCUGGUGCUAAAAGUUCUUAAUUCAAUUCCAUAAUUUUGGGCAUGGUUAGUUUUACUUUAUGAUUUUUAGUACUUGGGUUGAAUGCCAUAUAAUCUACUUAUUUGUGCAUCACAUAGAUAAUAAAGGAAAAGUAAAUAUUGGGGCUCCGUCAUGUGCUUAUAGCAUUUGCAUGCAUAUUUCAAAGAUGAAUUUUUGUCUUAGACCCAAAUUUGAUGUCAGUAAGAUCUUAGAAGCACAAAAUUAAUUUGCAUUCAUAUUUUGGAGAUGGAUUUUUGUGUCUUAUAUCCUAACUUAAUAUCACUAAGAUUUUAAAAGCAUAUCAUUCAGUUUGAAUUUCUAUAUAUGUAUUUAUGUGUAUGUGUGUGUGAGUCACAGUGCUAUAGACAAAGAAAGUGUGUGUAGGAAUUUCCAUUUUGGAUGGAGGAUCAAUUGGAGCAUUUAAUUUGGAUGAUGAGCAAUCAAAGGGGAAAGUGAAUGGUUCAAAUGGAAGCACCAAAACCCUGGGGAGAACAUAGAGAAAUUACCUCAAUGACUUGCAAUGUACUGCACACAAGGAUUAAGAUGUGAGAAAGUUUCAAGUUAGCUACUCAGUAAAUGAUUGAAAUAUGUGAUUAUCUUUGAAAGAUGAUUUUAUGUUUUCUAAUUGUUUGAUUUGUGUUAAUUUACAAGAUAAAAAUGUACUACUAUCAUCUUAUGGGUA
Molecule: long non-coding RNA, 2720 nt
Organism: Quercus lobata
Lineage: Eukaryota; Viridiplantae; Streptophyta; Magnoliopsida; Fagales; Fagaceae
Exons: 3
Source: RefSeq, a predicted model, not a curated record